GCUUCAUUCAAAUAUCUGCCCUAUCAACUUUCGAUGGUAGGAUAGUGGCCUACCAUGGUUUAAACGGGUAACGGGGAAUAAGGGUUCGAUUCCGGAGAGGGAGCCUGAGAAACGGCUACCACAUCCAAGGAAGGCAGCAGGGGCGCAAAUUACCCAAUCCCGACCGGGGAGGUAGUGACAAUAAAUAACAAUAUAGGGCUCUUUUGGGUCUUAUAAUUGGAAUGAGUACAAUUUAAACCCCUUAACGAGGAACAAUUGGAGGGCAAGUCUGGUGCCAGCAGCCGCGGUAAUUCCAGCUCCAAUAGCGUAUAUUAAAGUUGUUGCAGUUAAAAAGCUCGUAGUUG
This 344-nucleotide ribosomal RNA is filed under the name uncultured fungus. RNAcentral describes it as "SSU rRNA". It matches the Rfam family "Eukaryotic small subunit ribosomal RNA", at positions 292 to 636 of the family's 1831-position model. The record is from RNAcentral. Lineage: Eukaryota; Fungi.